GACGAACGCUGGCGGCGUGCUUAACACAUGCAAGUCGAACGGAAAGGCCCUGCUUUUGUGGGGUGCUCGAGUGGCGAACGGGUGAGUAACACGUGAGUAACCUGCCCUUGACUUUGGGAUAACUUCAGGAAACUGGGGCUAAUACCGGAUAGGAGCUCCUGCUGCAUGGUGGGGGUUGGAAAGUUUCGGCGGUUGGGGAUGGACUCGCGGCUUAUCAGCUUGUUGGUGGGGUAGUGGCUUACCAAGGCUUUGACGGGUAGCCGGCCUGAGAGGGUGACCGGCCACAUUGGGACUGAGAUACGGCCCAGUGUCCAACGGGAGGCAGCAGUGGGGAAUAUUGCACAAUGGGCGGGAGCCUGAUGCAGCAACGCCGCGUGCGGGAUGACGGCCUGCGGGUUGUAAACCGCUUUCGCCUGUGACGAAGCGGGAGUGACGGUAAUGGGUAAAGAAGCACCGGCUAACUACGUG
Molecule: ribosomal RNA, 468 nt
Filed under: uncultured bacterium
Lineage: Bacteria
Description: partial 16S ribosomal RNA
Rfam family: Bacterial small subunit ribosomal RNA
Source: RNAcentral